This 291-nucleotide ribosomal RNA is filed under the name uncultured prokaryote. Its description in RNAcentral is "partial 16S ribosomal RNA". It matches the Rfam family "Bacterial small subunit ribosomal RNA", at positions 505 to 796 of the family's 1533-position model. The record is from RNAcentral.
GUGUCAGCAGCCGCGGUAAUACGUAUGUCACAAGCGUUAUCCGGAUUUAUUGGGCGUAAAGCGCGUCUAGGUGGUUAUGUAAGUCUGAUGUGAAAAUGCAGGGCUCAACUCUGUAUUGCGUUGGAAACUGUGUAACUAGAGUACUGGAGAGGUAAGCGGAACUACAAGUGUAGAGGUGAAAUUCGUAGAUAUUUGUAGGAAUGCCGAUGGGGAAGCCAGCUUACUGGACAGAUACUGACGCUGAAGCGCGAAAGCGUGGGUAGCAAACAGGAUUAGAAACCCCCGUAGUCC